UAGUUCUUUACAACAUACAAGAGAGGAUUUGCAUACAAGAUACAGUUUCUCAAAACAAUUAACGAAACAAUAUAAAUCUUCUCAAUCUCCAUUAAUCUUGCAUCAAAUUAUACGAUUUUAUAGUUCCUUACAACAUACAAGACAUGAUUUGCAUAUAAGAUACAGUCUUCUCCAAACAAUUAACGAAACAAUAUAGAUCUGCUCAAUCUCCAUUAAACUGACAUCAAAUUACACGAUUUUAUAGUUCUUUACAACAUACAAGACAUGAUUUGCAUACAAAAUACAGUUUUCUCCAAACAAUUAAUGAAACAAU
RNAcentral lists this long non-coding RNA (313 nucleotides) under Ananas comosus (pineapple). RNAcentral describes it as "long non-coding RNA (ACOM_LNC034823)". The record is from RNAcentral. Lineage: Eukaryota; Viridiplantae; Streptophyta; Magnoliopsida; Poales; Bromeliaceae.